UCGGGCUACUUCUGCAGCGAAUGGUUCUUUUUCAUAACGAAGUGCGCAGACUAUUGCUUAAGGAGUGCGGAAAACAGUGUUUGAGCUUUCUUUGUGCCUCUUCGGUAUUUUCCUCUUGAUCUUCUUGAUAUCGGGCUUGCUAUCGUUCUGAAGCAUGAAGCUCUAUCGGUAACUGAGCUUCUAAGGCUCUUUGGAGAUAUGGCACAUCGUUUUUAGGGAGAAGAUGCGGUGUUGGCUCCUCGAGUUUCUAGAGCUCAUUGGAG
RNAcentral lists this long non-coding RNA (263 nucleotides) under Brassica napus (rape). RNAcentral's name for it is "long non-coding RNA (BNAP_LNC021270)". Lineage: Eukaryota; Viridiplantae; Streptophyta; Magnoliopsida; Brassicales; Brassicaceae. The record is from RNAcentral.